This 393-nucleotide ribosomal RNA is filed under the name uncultured eukaryote. RNAcentral describes it as "bacterial SSU rRNA". It matches the Rfam family "Eukaryotic small subunit ribosomal RNA", at positions 592 to 963 of the family's 1831-position model. The record is from RNAcentral.
CAAUAGCGUAUAUUAAAGUUGUUGCAGUUAAAAGCUCGUAGUUGGAUUUGUGGCGUUCGGUGGGUUCCGGGCACUUGUUGUCUGAGUAAUCCGCUGAUGCCAUCCUUGGGUGGAACCUGUGUGGCAUUAGGUUGUCGUGCAGGGGAUGCCCAUCAUUUACUGUGAAAAAUUAGAGUGUUCAAAGCAGGCUUAUGCCGUUGAAUAUAUUAGCAUGGAAUAAUAAGAUAGGACUUUUUUGUCUAUUUUGUUUGGUUUGGUCGCAAAGAAGGUAAUAGAUUAAUUAAGGGACGAGUUGGGGGGUUAGGUUCGUUAUUCCUACUUGUUCAGAAGGUGGAAAUUACUUUGGUAUUUCUUGGAAGGAACGAACUAACUGCGAAAGACAUUUACCUAAGG